RNAcentral lists this ribosomal RNA (468 nucleotides) under uncultured bacterium. RNAcentral's name for it is "partial 16S ribosomal RNA". It matches the Rfam family "Bacterial small subunit ribosomal RNA", at positions 28 to 507 of the family's 1533-position model. The record is from RNAcentral.
GACGAACGCUGGCGGCGUGCUUAACACAUGCAAGUCGAACGGACAGGCCCUGCUUUUGUGGGGUGCUCGAGUGGCGAACGGGUGAGUACCACGUGAGUAACCUGCCCUUGACUUUGGGAUCACUUCAUGAAACUGGGGCUAAUACCGGAUAGGAGCUCCUGCUGCAUGGUGGGGGUUGGAAAGUUUCGGCGGUUGGGGAUGGACUCGCGGCUUAUCCGCUUGUUGGUGGGGUAGUGGCUUACCAAGGCUUUGCCGGGUAGCGGGCCUGAGAGGGGGACCGGACACGCUGGAAUUGAGAUGAGGCACGGACCCGAAUGGGAGGGAGCGGUGGGGUGGGGAGUAUUAGAGGAGGAGGGCAGAUGCAGUCCAGCCGUGUGGGGGAAGAGGGGACGGGGGUAGGAUUGUGAUGUUGUUUGUUACGAAACGUGAGUGACGGUAACGGGUAAAGAAGCACCGGCUAACUACGUG